UCCCCAUUGCGACAGGCCUCCAGCAGUUCCCGAAGGGCCCCGCUCACUGCUGGGACCCCUGUCCCAGGUCCUGCUGCCCCAGGCCCCAGUGGUGCUGUGCUGCUAACUCCGGCCGCCUCGGGGCUCUCCGCCAAGCUCGAUCCAGGGGAGGAUGGAGAGGAAGAUGAGGAAGAAGUCGGGGAAGAAGAGGACGACGGUGAAUUGUUACUGCCACUGCCGGCUGGGUUGGGAGCGACCCCAACGGCAGAUGAAGUAGAAACCGCUGGGACCACGGGAGCGGCGGUGACGGUACAGAUUGUGCUGGUGGUACUGCAACAGCUAGUACCGUCAACUGGGUCCGGGGAUCGGGGCCUGUCGGGCGGAUCCCGACUGCCAUCCCCCUCCGGCAGCGCUAGGCCGUGCCGCGGGGAGGCGAAGGGGGCCAGGCCGCUGGCCGUGGGAGAGGCUGGGGUGGUCCCCGGGGCCAGGCCAGGGCUGAGUGGGGGAGGAGGUGGCGGCGGCGGCGCUGAAGCCCCUGGGGCGGGCUGGAGCUGUUGUUGAUGAUGGUGGUGAUGAUGCUGAGAGCGACGCGACGCCGCCAUCUUCGGACUCCCCUAGCACUGUCACUGCGGCAACGGCCCCCACCGCCCGCUCUCACUUCCGACCGUCGGACCAAUCAGCAUCCAGCGCACAGGAAAUGAUGCUAGGCGGGGUAGGAGGGGCCAAAGAGAAGGAGGGAAGUAUUGGGAGCUCAGAGAACAGCCAAAGGAACGGGGCGGGGCUUUGUCACUGAGAGGCGGGCUUUGUGACGUGGUGGCGGGCCGGCUGCAGAGAUUUGAAUGCUGGAACCAGCUUCUACCUAGAUGGGGAACAUUUCCUGCAUUUCUCACUUUCAGUCGGCUUUCCUGGCCCUGCUCCGGUCUGUUUCCCUUAGUCUCCCUUUGCUUGCUCCAGAGCCAGCUGUUGAGAUGCAGCUCAGAGCAAGCAGGGAAUGUGUCCAUUAUCAUCUAUUAAGCGUCCUUGUCUGAAAAAUGGAAUUUAAGAGUACCAACCUCACAGAAUUAUUAGCGGGAUUAAAAGAGCUAACAGACAAAGCGCUCUGCCAGUAAAACACAACUAUAAUUAGCCCGUUGGUAAUUUUUUAAAUUAUAGUAUUUCUUUUCCAGGUGUCCCCUUGAGCUCUUGUCCCUUCCCUAUAAUUUUUCUCACCCUAUGUGCUUUAAUUCCUCGUUUUUAAAUGCUGGUUCAGAUUGCUAGGAUUGGCAUUCCAGCUCUGCCAUUUGUUGUGUAUAUAUGAACUAGCUAUUUCAUCACUCUAUGCUUGUUUUUCUCUGUAAAAUUGAAAUAACAAUAGUGCAAUAAGUGUGAAUUAUUAAAAUUAUGAUUUUUUUUUCCUAUU
This 1378-nucleotide non-coding RNA is filed under the name Pongo abelii (Sumatran orangutan). The record is from RNAcentral. Lineage: Eukaryota; Metazoa; Chordata; Mammalia; Primates; Hominidae.